RNAcentral lists this ribosomal RNA (274 nucleotides) under uncultured bacterium. RNAcentral's name for it is "partial 16S ribosomal RNA". It matches the Rfam family "Bacterial small subunit ribosomal RNA", at positions 523 to 796 of the family's 1533-position model. The record is from RNAcentral.
AUACGGAGGGGGCUAGCGUUGUUCGGAAUUACUGGGCGUAAAGGGCGCGUAGGCGGGUUAUCAAGUCAGAGGUGAAAGCCCUGGGCUCAACCUGGGAACUGCCUUUGAAACUGAUAGUCUUGAGGCCGGAAGAGGAUGGCGGAAUUCCCAGUGUAGAGGUGAAAUUCGUAGAUAUUGGGAAGAACACCAGUGGCGAAGGCGGCCAUCUGGUCCGGUUCUGACGCUGAGGCGCGAAAGCGUGGGGAGCAAACAGGAUUAGAUACCCCAGUAGUCC